UUCCAGACUCCUACGGGAGGCAGCAGUGAGGAAUAUUGGUCAAUGGGCGGGAGCCUGAACCAGCCAAGCCGCGUGAAGGAAGAAGGCGCCAGGCGUCGUAAACUUCUUUUGUCGGGGAACAAAGGGCGCCACGUGUGGCGUUGUGAGUGUACCCGAAGAAAAAGCAUCGGCUAACUCCGUGCCAGCAGCCGCGGUAAUACGGAGGGUGCAACCGUUGUCCGGAAUCAUUGGGCGUAAAGAGUUCGUAGGCGGUAUGUUAAGUCUGGUGUUAAAUGCAGAAGCUCAACUUCUGUUCGGCACUGGAUACUGGCAAACUAGAAUGCGGUAGAGGUAAAGGGAAUUCCUGGUGUAGCGGUGAAAUGCUUAGAUAUCAGGAGGAACAUCGGUGGCGUAAGCGCUUUACUGGGCCGUAAUUGACGCUGAGGAACGAAAGCCAGGGUAGCAAAUGGGAUUAGAUACCCUGGUAU
This 467-nucleotide ribosomal RNA is filed under the name uncultured bacterium. RNAcentral's name for it is "bacterial SSU rRNA". It matches the Rfam family "Bacterial small subunit ribosomal RNA", at positions 329 to 793 of the family's 1533-position model. The record is from RNAcentral.